RNAcentral lists this ribosomal RNA (497 nucleotides) under uncultured bacterium. RNAcentral describes it as "partial 16S ribosomal RNA". It matches the Rfam family "Bacterial small subunit ribosomal RNA", at positions 28 to 507 of the family's 1533-position model. The record is from RNAcentral.
GAUGAACGCUGGCGGCGUGCCUAAUACAUGCAAGUCGAGCGAACAGACGAGGAGCUUGCUCCUCUGACGUUAGCGGCGGACGGGUGAGUAACACGUGGAUAACCUACCUAUAAGACUGGGAUAACUUCGGGAAACCGGAGCUAAUACCGGAUAAUAUAUUGAACCGCAUGGUUCAAUAGUGAAAGACGGUUUUGCUGUCACUUAUAGAUGGAUCCGCGCCGCAUUAGCUAGUUGGUAAAGUAACGGCUUACCAAGGCAACGAUGCGUAGCCGACCUGAGAGGGUGAUCGGCCACACUGGAACUGAGACACGGUCCAGACUCCUACGGGAGGCAGCAGUAGGGAAUCUUCCGCAAUGGGCGAAGGCCUGACGGAGCAACGCCGCGUGAGUGAUGAAGGUCUUCGGAUCGUAAAACUCUGUUAUUAGGGAAGAACAAAUGUGUAAGUAACUAUGCACGUCUUGACGGUACCUAAUCAGAAAGCCACGGCUAACUACGUG